This 464-nucleotide ribosomal RNA is filed under the name uncultured bacterium. RNAcentral's name for it is "partial 16S ribosomal RNA". It matches the Rfam family "Bacterial small subunit ribosomal RNA", at positions 339 to 795 of the family's 1533-position model. The record is from RNAcentral.
CUACGGGUGGCACCAGUGGGGAAUAUUGCACAAUGGGCGCAAGCCUGAUGCAGCCAUGCCGCGUGUAUGAAGAAGGCCUUCGGGUUGUAAAGUACUUUCAGCGGGGAGGAAGGGAGUAAAGUUAAUACCUUUGCUCAUUGACGUUACCCGCAGAAGAAGCACCGGCUAACUCCGUGCCAGCAGCCGCGGUAAUACGGAGGGUGCAAGCGUUAAUCGUAAUUACUGGGCGUAAAGCGCACGCAGGCGGUUUGUUAAGUCAGAUGUGAAAUCCCCGGGCUCAACCUGGGAACUGCAUCAGAUACUGGCAAGCUUGAGUCUCGUAGAGGGGGGUAGAAUUCCAGGUGUAGCGGUGAAAUGCGUAGAGAUCUGGAGGAAUACUGGUGGCGAAGGCGGCCCCCUGGACGAAGACUGACGCUCAGGUGCGAAAGCGUGGGGAGCAAACAGGAUUAGAUAGCCUAGUAGUC